RNAcentral lists this ribosomal RNA (465 nucleotides) under uncultured bacterium. Its description in RNAcentral is "partial 16S ribosomal RNA". It matches the Rfam family "Bacterial small subunit ribosomal RNA", at positions 335 to 795 of the family's 1533-position model. The record is from RNAcentral.
CCUCCUUUGUUCCUCCUUGGGGCAUCUUGCGCAAUGGGCGAAAGCCUGACGCAGCGACGCCGCGUGAGGGAUGAAGGUCUUCGGAUCGUAAACCUCUGUCAGCAGGGAAGAACGGUCACUGUGCUAAUCAGCAGUGAAUUGACGGUACCUGCAAAGGAAGCACCGGCUAACUCCGUGCCAGCAGCCGCGGUAAUACGGAGGGUGCGAGCGUUAAUCGGACUUACUGGGCGUAAAGCGCUCGUAGGCGGUAUGUCAAGUCAAGGGUGAAAUCCCCGCGCUCAACGUGGGAACUGCCUUUGAAUCUGGCAAACUGGAGUGUGUGAGAGGUAUGCGGAAUGCGUGGUGUAGCGGUGAAAUGCAUAGAUAUCACGCAGAACUCCGAUUGCGAAGGCAGCAUACCGGCGCGCAACUGACGCUCAUGCACGAAAGCGUGGGUAUCGAACAGGAUUAGAUACCCCAGUAGUC